This 1442-nucleotide ribosomal RNA is filed under the name Weissella confusa. Its description in RNAcentral is "bacterial SSU rRNA". It matches the Rfam family "Bacterial small subunit ribosomal RNA". The record is from RNAcentral. Lineage: Bacteria; Bacillati; Bacillota; Bacilli; Lactobacillales; Lactobacillaceae.
CAUGCAAGUCGAACGCUUUGUGGUUCAACUGAUUUGAAGAGCUUGCUCAGAUAUGACGAUGGACAUUGCAAAGAGUGGCGAACGGGUGAGUAACACGUGGGAAACCUACCUCUUAGCAGGGGAUAACAUUUGGAAACAGAUGCUAAUACCGUAUAACAAUGACAACCGCAUGGUUGUUAUUUAAAAGAUGGUUCUGCUAUCACUAAGAGAUGGUCCCGCGGUGCAUUAGCUAGUUGGUAAGGUAAUGGCUUACCAAGGCGAUGAUGCAUAGCCGAGUUGAGAGACUGAUCGGCCACAAUGGGACUGAGACACGGCCCAUACUCCUACGGGAGGCAGCAGUAGGGAAUCUUCCACAAUGGGCGAAAGCCUGAUGGAGCAACGCCGCGUGUGUGAUGAAGGGUUUCGGCUCGUAAAACACUGUUGUAAGAGAAGAAUGACAUUGAGAGUAACUGUUCAAUGUGUGACGGUAUCUUACCAGAAAGGAACGGCUAAAUACGUGCCAGCAGCCGCGGUAAUACGUAUGUUCCAAGCGUUAUCCGGAUUUAUUGGGCGUAAAGCGAGCGCAGACGGUUAUUUAAGUCUGAAGUGAAAGCCCUCAGCUCAACUGAGGAAUUGCUUUGGAAACUGGAUGACUUGAGUGCAGUAGAGGAAAGUGGAACUCCAUGUGUAGCGGUGAAAUGCGUAGAUAUAUGGAAGAACACCAGUGGCGAAGGCGGCUUUCUGGACUGUAACUGACGUUGAGGCUCGAAAGUGUGGGUAGCAAACAGGAUUAGAUACCCUGGUAGUCCACACCGUAAACGAUGAGUGCUAGGUGUUUGAGGGUUUCCGCCCUUAAGUGCCGCAGCUAACGCAUUAAGCACUCCGCCUGGGGAGUACGACCGCAAGGUUGAAACUCAAAGGAAUUGACGGGGACCCGCACAAGCGGUGGAGCAUGUGGUUUAAUUCGAAGCAACGCGAAGAACCUUACCAGGUCUUGACAUCCCUUGACAACUCCAGAGAUGGAGCGUUCCCUUCGGGGACAAGGUGACAGGUGGUGCAUGGUUGUCGUCAGCUCGUGUCGUGAGAUGUUGGGUUAAGUCCCGCAACGAGCGCAACCCUUAUUACUAGUUGCCAGCAUUCAGUUGGGCACUCUAGUGAGACUGCCGGUGACAAACCGGAGGAAGGUGGGGAUGACGUCAAAUCAUCAUGCCCCUUAUGACCUGGGCUACACACGUGCUACAAUGGCGUAUACAACGAGUUGCCAACCCGCGAGGGUGAGCUAAUCUCUUAAAGUACGUCUCAGUUCGGAUUGUAGGCUGCAACUCGCCUACAUGAAGUCGGAAUCGCUAGUAAUCGCGGAUCAGCACGCCGCGGUGAAUACGUUCCCGGGUCUUGUACACACCGCCCGUCACACCAUGAGAGUUUGUAACACCCAAAUCCGGUGGGGUAACCUUCGGGAGCCA